CAUGCGCGAUGCUCUAGAGCCUUCUGAGCUGGUACUGACCUAACAGAAUCUGUUCUACGCUUUGGAGCGUUUGAAGAUGGGCGCGCGCUGUGCUCACAUCAUUGAGGAUAGACACACAUAGAACCAGCGACAAAAAUUCUCUCUCCAGGAGGCAAUUCACGAGCUACUCUCCAUCGAGGCAUUUUCUCUCGAUUCAUUCACUGAUUAUUGCAUCGGCACCGCUUCCGAGCCAGCAUGGAAGGCCAUCAAUCAGGUUCAAGAGACCCUGAGUGAGAUCAAGCGAGCAGUCGAUCUCCUCGACUACCGCUCGCUUUGUUUAUCAGCAACCUCCUCAGCUCCGUGUUGCCCCUCACGAUUGUGAGCUGGAGGCCGUACAUGUCGUAGACCAGGAAAUUGGCCAUCGCGGCACGACCAUUGUAGACUGCCUGUCCCUAGCGAUCUCCGGCAUCUUUGCCAAGUCCAGGGCCAAGGUCUUGAACACACAGUACUCGAGCAGGUCUACGGUUCCCUUUUUUUCUUUCCCUCGGUUUCCUUCCUUUUGUUUCCUUUACCUCUGCUUAGCAAGAAUCUAUGCAUUCUCCUCGUAGGAAAAGUA
Molecule: long non-coding RNA, 595 nt
Organism: Eucalyptus grandis
Lineage: Eukaryota; Viridiplantae; Streptophyta; Magnoliopsida; Myrtales; Myrtaceae
Exons: 3
Source: RefSeq, a predicted model, not a curated record